Molecule: long non-coding RNA, 676 nt
Filed under: Panax ginseng (ginseng)
Lineage: Eukaryota; Viridiplantae; Streptophyta; Magnoliopsida; Apiales; Araliaceae
Description: long non-coding RNA (PGIN_LNC007638)
Source: RNAcentral
UAUUAUAAUGUCAUAAUAUAAUGAAAUAAAAAUAAUUAGUUAGUAUGAACAUUUAUCAACAUAUCAUCAAGGAAACCAUAGAUAUCAAAAUUAGUUAUAUCCACUCCAUUUGAAAAGUCAAAAUAAUUCAUGGGAUCUUCAGGAUCAUUAUGAUCAAUACAAUUUAUUUCAAUUCCAUUUUCUUUUCUUUUAUGGAGUCUUGGUACAAAUCUACCAAAUGUUUAGGAGUGCGAUGGGUACAUUCCCUUUUAUAUAUUGAUUGUUCUUUUCAAGUCCACUACCACAACUACAACCACAAUUUCCUCAUGAUUAUCAAAUGAGGUUCCAUUCACUUCAGGAAAUGUAAUAGAAUCGGUCGAGCGAGAUUGUUGGUUUUUCAGCAAAAACUCAUUAUUUUGUACUGCCACUAGAAGAAAUGAUAUCACUUCUAGGAAUAUAAUUUCCUUUAUCGCUUCAGGGAAUAUAUUAUGAAUUUACACUCAAAAUAUUGCUACUACAGGAACAUAUUCGAGGGAUGAAAAUAUAAUAAAUAUUUUUCUCUAACAUGUCUUCAUCAGUGUUUUUCAUUCAACACUUUUAAAAUCUUUCCUUUAAAUCAUUUCAUAAGACAGGUGAGUCAUUUAAUGUAAUGUACUCAAAUUUUAAUUUUUCAUGGAGAUGAUAGCGAAUAAAAAUC